GGAUGCGAUCGUACCAGCACUAAAGCACCGGAUCCCAUCAGAAUUCUGAAGUUAAGCGUGCUUGGGCGAGAGUAGUACUAGGAUGGUGACCUCCUGGGAAGUCCUCGUGUUGCAUUCC
Molecule: ribosomal RNA, 118 nt
Filed under: Triticum aestivum (bread wheat)
Lineage: Eukaryota; Viridiplantae; Streptophyta; Magnoliopsida; Poales; Poaceae
Source: RNAcentral